Molecule: non-coding RNA, 585 nt
Organism: Camellia sinensis
Lineage: Eukaryota; Viridiplantae; Streptophyta; Magnoliopsida; Ericales; Theaceae
Source: RefSeq, a predicted model, not a curated record
AAAACUUGAAGAAAAAAGUUGUGCAAGUUUUUUUUUUCAGACUAAGAUUGAAUCGAUGGGAAAUGAAACCUCUCGAUCAGAAGCCGACAAAGAUGAUGCAGACUGCAAAAUUACCUCCCAAUGAAGGACGAACAGGAUGUGGCUCCGAAAUAUGACGUUGAACAUGACAACUGUAUAGCGCUAAUGGCGAUGAAGAAUUGGUGGGAUCCCGAUAAGUAUGUAGCGCUCAAGAGGGAUAAACUCAGAGAGAUGCUCAAGCCCAACACCCGAGAUGUGGCUCGGACAUAAGAUGAUCCAACGUUUAUAAUGAUGAAGAAUGGGGAGAAUGUUGGUAAGGUUAUAGGAGCCAACAAGGAUGAACUCAAGGGCACGAUAGAGAAGCUCGAGGCCUAAUACUAAAUAAUUAGUUUAUAUUAUACUAUAUAUCCCAAGAAAGUACAGAAAAAUGAUGUUGAGGCACUAGUCUCCAUGGAUUAUAUCUCUAAAUAAGAUCUUAUGUAUCCAUUAUAUUACAUCUCUAGAUAAGAUCUCAUGUUUGCCUACAAAAUAUUACAUCUCUAGAUAAGAUCUCAUGUUUGCCUACAA